RNAcentral lists this ribosomal RNA (254 nucleotides) under uncultured bacterium. RNAcentral describes it as "partial 16S ribosomal RNA". It matches the Rfam family "Bacterial small subunit ribosomal RNA", at positions 524 to 776 of the family's 1533-position model. The record is from RNAcentral.
UACGGAGGGAGCUAGCGUUGUUCGGAAUUACUGGGCGUAAAGCGCACGUAGGCGGCUUUCUAAGUCAGGGGUGAAAUCCCCGGGGCUCAACCCCGGAACUGCCCUUGAAACUGGAUGGCUAGAAUCCUGGAGAGGCGAGUGGAAUUCCGAGUGUAGCGGUGGAAUGCGUAGAGAUCCGGAAGAACACCAGUGGCGAAGGCGGCCCGCUGGGCAGUGGCUGACGCUGAGGCGCGACAGCGUGGGGAGCAAACAGG